GACGAACGCUGGCGGCGUGCUUAACACAUGCAAGUCGAACGGAAAGGCCCUGCUUUUGUGGGGUGCUCGAGUGGCGAACGGGUGAGUAACACGUGAGUAACCUGCCCCUGACUUUGGGAUAACUUCAGGAAACUGGGGCUAAUACCGGAUAGGAGCUCCUGCUGCAUGGUGGGGGUUGGAAAGUUUCGGCGGUUGGGGAUGGACUCGCGGCUUAUCAGCUUGUUGGUGGGGUAGUGGCUUACCAAGGCUUUGACGGGUAGCCGGCCUGAGAGGGUGACCGGCCACAUUGGGACUGAGAUACGGCCCAGACUCCUACGGGAGGCAGCGGUGAGGAAUAUUGCACGAUGGGCGGAAGCAUGGUGCAGCAACGCCGCGUGCGGGAUGACGGCCUUCGGGUUGUAAACCGCUUUCGCCUGUGACGAAGCGUGAGUGACGGUAAUGGGUAAAGAAGCACCGGCCAACUACGUG
Molecule: ribosomal RNA, 468 nt
Filed under: uncultured bacterium
Lineage: Bacteria
Description: partial 16S ribosomal RNA
Rfam family: Bacterial small subunit ribosomal RNA
Source: RNAcentral